This 244-nucleotide long non-coding RNA is filed under the name Mytilus galloprovincialis (Mediterranean mussel). Lineage: Eukaryota; Metazoa; Mollusca; Bivalvia; Mytilida; Mytilidae. The record is from RNAcentral.
UUAGGGAGCUACCAUUUGAUUUUUAUGGGGGGGCUAGGAUGAAAUUUGAAAAAAAUAGGCAGGAAGGAGUUUUGAGUAAAAAAAAAGGCAGGAUGAGACACUUUGCAAAAAAAAAAAGUCAGGAUGACAAUUUAGGUAAAAAAAAGUCAGGAUAAACUAAUAAAAAAAAAGGCAGGACCGAAUAGAGUGAAAAAAAAAGGCAGGACAGAGAUUACAACUAAAAAAAAAUGCAGGACAAAAUUUU